This 301-nucleotide ribosomal RNA is filed under the name uncultured bacterium. RNAcentral describes it as "partial 16S ribosomal RNA". It matches the Rfam family "Bacterial small subunit ribosomal RNA", at positions 509 to 807 of the family's 1533-position model. The record is from RNAcentral.
CAGCAGCCGCGGUAAGACAGAGGAUUUAAGCGUUAUCCGGAAUGAUUGGGCGUAAAGCGUCUGUAGGUGGCUUUCCAAGUCCGUCGUCAAAUCCCAGGGCUCAACCCUGGACAGGCGGUGGAAACUACCAAGCUGGAGUACGGUAGGGGCAGAGGGAAUUUCCAGUGGAGCGGUGAAAUGCGUUGAGAUGUGGAGGAACACCAGUGGCGAAGGCGACUCUCUGGUCUGUAACUGACGCUGAGGAGCGAAAGCGUGGGGAGCGAACAGGAUUAGAGACCCCUGUAGUCCCUGUCUCUUAUAC